AACGAACGCUGGCGGCGUGCUUAACACAUGCAAGUCGAACGAAGUAGCAAUACUUAGUGGCGCACGGGUGAGUAACACGUGGGAAUCUGCCUGAUAGUGGGGGAUAACAGUUGGAAACGACUGCUAAUACCGCAUAACCUCGAGAGAGAAAAGAUUUAUCGCUAUCAGAUGAGCCCGCGCCUGAUUAGGUAGUUGGUGGGGUAAUGGCCUACCACGCCUACGAUCAGUAGCCGGUCUGAGAGGACGAUCGGCCACACUGGGACUGAGACACGGCCCAGACUCCUACGGGAGGCAGCAGUGGGGAAUUUUGGACAAUGGGCGAAAGCCUGAUCCAGCGACGCCGCGUGAAUGAUGAAGGCUUUCGGGUUGUAAAGUUCUUUUGGCAGGGAAGAUAGUGACGGUACCUGCAGAAUAAGCUCCGGCAAACUCUAUGCCAGCCGCCGCCGUAA
This 449-nucleotide ribosomal RNA is filed under the name uncultured bacterium. RNAcentral describes it as "partial 16S ribosomal RNA". It matches the Rfam family "Bacterial small subunit ribosomal RNA", at positions 29 to 523 of the family's 1533-position model. The record is from RNAcentral.